GCUGAAACUAUCGAUAGAGCGUUUGUUUUUGAAUUCGACAUGUGUAAUUGAUUCUUCAUAUAUUUUUAAGAAAUCGCCCCUGAAAUAAGAAAUCUGUGACGAACAGGCAGCCUUGAGUAGGACCUGGCGCUACAAAACUACGUAUAAUAGGAUCCAGCAUAAAAACCCGACUCUGCAGUCCGACGCGAGUACGACUCGGUUAGCCUGCAACUCAUCAACCCGUGGCUUGAGCUCCUGAAGAACACGAGGAGAACGAGGCAGCUGGCGUUGUCCAAUCCAUCGCGCACAACGAUCAUUGACGGUUCAGUUGAACGGCAUCGAUUCAACGUAGAGUUCCAAUCCAUUUGUAGAAUACAUACGUAAAGGCUGAUAUUUUAAGCAGAACAGAACAUAGCGCAAGAAGCCAAAUGAGUGGACACGCCGUGCGGUAGUAGUGUGGCAAAGGCUGUUCUCGAGGAAAAUAAGAAAAGCACUGAUGGGAAGAAAGCCUCUGGGAACGACGACGAACGCAAUGCGGAGGAAAACAAAGUCAGAACCUCACAUACAACUGUUUUCGAUUUAAACGACGAUUGCUGGGUGCUAAUGGAGUAUCUGGACGUAGAAACGUGGACGUGUGUAUCGGAAACAUGUUCAGGAGAUAUUCAAGCCACCGGUACAAGCAUUGAAAAACACUCAACGAAGAUCUGAAAACGAGAUUUGAGCCGAGUAGAGAUGGAUGGGACGAUCUAGGCAGCCUGAUAAAGCUCAGCCUGAUAGCUUGUGUACGCAUUUUGUUUAAAAUAUCAAGAAAUUGAUCAACUGGAAUCUCUGGAUGGGUCUUCCUUUGAUGGAUUCGAUGCAAAGAGCUUGUUGGAUUGCUGCCAAACGAUGAAACAAAGAAAAAAGCAAAAAGUAAGAACUUUUUUUAAAUUCUGGCGAAGAAACUGUCAGCAGCUGGAACGUCUGGUAUUUAGAAUAGGAUACGGUGCCCUAUGAAAUGGUGUGCCACUUGCCCAAACUGCAACAUUUUCACAUGUUCAGCACAUUUGAAAUAUUUCUUCACUCAAGGAACUCUAUGUAUCGACAGCUACAGCGACAUCGUGCCUUUGGCGGACUUAUUGAAGCCAAAGAACAUUGUCUAACUCCACAUAGACAUGCCAAUUGCGAAGGACCAAAUUCUGGACCUCCUAAUUAAUAAUAAUUAUUUUUGAUUAAAAAUAAAACUCAAAGUUGAAUAAAGGAAAAAUGGUGAGCUAAGAAAAAAUUUA
This is a long non-coding RNA of Drosophila miranda, 1247 nucleotides long. RefSeq lists it as uncharacterized. The transcript is spliced from 2 exons. Lineage: Eukaryota; Metazoa; Arthropoda; Insecta; Diptera; Drosophilidae. The record is from RefSeq and is a predicted model, not a curated record.